This 253-nucleotide ribosomal RNA is filed under the name uncultured bacterium. Its description in RNAcentral is "partial 16S ribosomal RNA". It matches the Rfam family "Bacterial small subunit ribosomal RNA", at positions 524 to 776 of the family's 1533-position model. The record is from RNAcentral.
GACAGAGGAUGCAAGCGUUAUCCGGAAUGAUUGGGCGUAAAGCGUCUGUAGGUGGCUUUUCAAGUCCGCCGUCAAAUCCCAGGGCUCAACCCUGGACAGGCGGUGGAAACUACCAAGCUGGAGUACGGUAGGGGCAGAGGGAAUUUCCGGUGGAGCGGUGAAAUGCAUUGAGAUCGGAAAGAACACCAGCGGCGAAAGCGCUCUGCUGGGCCGACACUGACGCUGAGAGACGAAAGCUAGGGGAGCAAAUGGG